RNAcentral lists this ribosomal RNA (428 nucleotides) under uncultured bacterium. RNAcentral's name for it is "bacterial SSU rRNA". It matches the Rfam family "Bacterial small subunit ribosomal RNA", at positions 29 to 504 of the family's 1533-position model. The record is from RNAcentral.
AACGAACGCUGGCGGCAGGCCUAACACAUGCAAGUCGAACGCCCCGCAAGGGGAGUGGCAGACGGGUGAGUAACGCGUGGGAACCUACCCAGUGGUACGGAAUAGCCCAGGGAAACCUGGGGUAAUACCGUAUACGCCCGAGAGGGGAAAGAUUUAUCGCCAUUGGAUGGGCCCGCGUCGGAUUAGCUAGUUGGUGGGGUAAUGGCUCACCAAGGCGACGAUCCGUAGCUGGUCUGAGAGGAUGAUCAGCCACACUGGGACUGAGACACGGCCCAGACUCCUACGGGAGGCAGCAGUGGGGAAUCUUGGACAAUGGGCGCAAGCCUGAUCCAGCCAUGCCGCGUGAGUGACGAAGGUCUUCGGAUUGUAAAGCUCUUUUGGCGGGGACGAUAAUGACGGUACCCGCAGAAUAAGCCCCGGCUAACUUC